UACGAAGGGUGCAAGCGUUACUCGGAAUUACUGGGCGUAAAGCGUGCGUAGGUGGUUCGUUAAGUCUGUCGUGAAAGCCCCGGGCUCAACCUGGGAACGGCGAUGGAUACUGGCGGGCUAGAGUGCGGUAGAGGGUGGUGGAAUUCCACGUGUAGCAGUGAAAUGCGUAGAGAUGUGGAGGAACACCGAUGGCGAAGGCAGCCCCCUGGGCCGACACUGACGCUCAGGCACGAAAGCGUGGGGAGCAAACAGG
This 253-nucleotide ribosomal RNA is filed under the name uncultured bacterium. RNAcentral's name for it is "partial 16S ribosomal RNA". It matches the Rfam family "Bacterial small subunit ribosomal RNA", at positions 524 to 776 of the family's 1533-position model. The record is from RNAcentral.